GUAGGUGGCAAGCGUUGUCCGGAAUUAUUGGGCGUAAAGCGCGCGCAGGCGGUUCUUUAAGUCUGAGUGUCGAAAGCCCACGGCUCAACCGUGGAGGGUUCAUUGGAAACUGGAGAACUUGAGUACAGAAGAGGAAACGCGGAAUUUCCACGUGUAGCGGUGAAAUGCGUAGAGAUGUGGAGGAACACCAGUGGCGAAGGCGGCUUUCUGGUCUGUAACUGACGCUGAGGCGCGAAAAGCGUGGGGUAGCAAACAGGAUUAGAUACCCUGGUAGUUCCACGCCGUAAACGAUGAGUGCUAAGUGUUAGGGGGUUUCCGCCCCCCUUAGUGCUGCAGCUAACGCAUUAAGCACUCCGCCUGGGAGUACGGCCGCAAGGCUG
This 380-nucleotide ribosomal RNA is filed under the name uncultured organism. RNAcentral describes it as "partial 16S ribosomal RNA". It matches the Rfam family "Bacterial small subunit ribosomal RNA", at positions 527 to 896 of the family's 1533-position model. The record is from RNAcentral.